GUUAGCAAGUAUUAGACGUUUACGUUCGAGAUCCAUGCCUGUAGCUUGAGAGUCUGAGGAUUUGGAUGCAUAAUUGGUCAUUGGCAGUGAAGUCCUCUUCUUGCUAGUAGAAUCUGCGGACUCUUUGAGAUCAUUCUCUGGAGCUGUGGGUACCAAGGUAUCCUGGACCAAAUUUGAGCUAUCGGUAUCACCCAUCCCUCUUCUUU
Non-coding RNA from Pelobates cultripes (western spadefoot toad), 206 nucleotides. Lineage: Eukaryota; Metazoa; Chordata; Amphibia; Anura; Pelobatidae. The record is from the annotation of a GenBank genome assembly.